RNAcentral lists this ribosomal RNA (433 nucleotides) under uncultured bacterium. RNAcentral describes it as "partial 16S ribosomal RNA". It matches the Rfam family "Bacterial small subunit ribosomal RNA", at positions 29 to 507 of the family's 1533-position model. The record is from RNAcentral.
AACGAACGCUGGCGGCAUGCCUAACACAUGCAAGUCGAACGAGACCUUCGGGUCUAGUGGCGCACGGGUGCGUAACGCGUGGGAACCUGCCCUUAGGUUCGGAAUAACUCCCCGAAUGGGGUGCUAAUACCGGAUAAUGUCUUCGGACCAAAGAUUUAUCGCCUUUGGAUGGGCCCGCGUUGGAUUAGCUAGUUGGUAGGGUAAAAGCCUACCAAGGCGACGAUCCAUAGCUGGUCUGAGAGGAUGAUCAGCCACACUGGGACUGAGACACGGCCCAGACUCCUACGGGAGGCAGCAGUGGGGAAUAUUGGACAAUGGGCGAAAGCCUGAUCCAGCAAUGCCGCGUGAGUGAUGAAGGCAUUAGGGUUGUAAAGCUCUUUUACCCGGGAUGAUAAUGACAGUACCGGGAGAAUAAGCUCCGGCUAACUCCGUG